This 497-nucleotide ribosomal RNA is filed under the name uncultured Syndiniales. RNAcentral describes it as "SSU rRNA". It matches the Rfam family "Eukaryotic small subunit ribosomal RNA", at positions 609 to 1111 of the family's 1831-position model. Lineage: Eukaryota; Dinophyceae; Syndiniales. The record is from RNAcentral.
GUUGUUGCGGUUAAAAGCUCGUAGUUGGAUUUCUGUCGAAGACGGUCGGUCCGCUCUAUGAGCGUGCAUCUGAUUCGGCUUUGGCAUCCUCGUGGGGAACGUAACUGUGCUUGAUUGCAUGGUGCGGAAUUCACGACUUUUACUUUGAGGAAAUUAGAGUGUUCACGGCAGGCAAGCGCCUUGAAUAUAUUAGCAUGGAAUAAUAAUAUAGGACUUUGGUUCUAUUUUGUUGGUUUCUAGGACUAAAGUAAUGAUUAAUAGGGAUAAUUGGGGGCAUUUGUAUUAACGCGUCAGAGGUGGAAUUCUUGGAUUGCGUUACGACAAACUACUGCGAAAGCAUUUGCCAAGGAUGUUUUCAUUGAUCAAGAACGAAAGUAUGGGGAUCGAAGAUGAUUAGAUACCGUCGUAGUCUAUACCAUAAACUAUGCCGACUAGAGAUUGGAGGUCGUUCUUUCCAUGACUCCUUCAGCACCUUAUGAGAAAUCAAAGUCUUUGGG